This 486-nucleotide ribosomal RNA is filed under the name uncultured bacterium. RNAcentral describes it as "partial 16S ribosomal RNA". It matches the Rfam family "Bacterial small subunit ribosomal RNA", at positions 30 to 507 of the family's 1533-position model. The record is from RNAcentral.
AUUGAACGCUGGCGGCAUGCCUUACACAUGCAAGUCGAACGGCAGCACGGGUGCUUGCACCUGGUGGCGAGUGGCGAACGGGUGAGUAAUACAUCGGAACAUGUCCUGUAGUGGGGGAUAGCCCGGCGAAAGCCGGAUUAAUACCGCAUACGAUCUACGUAUGAAAGCGGGGGACCUUCGGACCUCGCGCUAUAGGGUUGGCUGAUGGCUGAUUAGCUAGUUGGUGGGGUAAAGGCCUACCAAGGCGACGAUCAGUAGCUGGUCUGAGAGGACGACCAGCCACACUGGGACUGAGACACGGCCCAGACUCCUACGGGAGGCAGCAGUGGGGAAUUUUGGACAAUGGGCGAAAGCCUGAUCCAGCAAUGCCGCGUGUGUGAAGAAGGCCUUCGGGUUGUAAAGCACUUUUGUCAGGAAAGAAAUACUUGGCCCUAAUACGGUCGGGGGAUGACGGUACCGGAAGAAUAAGCACCGGCUAACUACGUG